UUUUUCUCUUAAAAACUUUUUCCCCUUCAUCAGUUUAUAACAUUCCUUUUAGUUCGAGUUUCAGAUCUUUCAAUGGAUUGCUUCUGUACUUUGAAAUACUGCGUCCAAAAUCCACUGGUGGUGACCAAUACUAACAAUCCCCGCCCUCACCAUCCAUCUCAUGUAAUAUGGGAUUUCAUUUGCAGUUCGCAGAUGGGCUUGAAAAGAUCAAGAACGAAAAAAAGAAAAGCCCAUAUCAAAACGCGGAGGAUUGUUCAUACAAAUUCUUAACGUCUAAAAGAAGCCACUCGUUCUUCCUCACUGGAGCGACGAUCCGGAGAUUUCUCGAAGAUCCGUUCUCUUGAUCAUCCUCUCUCUCAGAUCCAUCAAGCUGAUAACAAUGUCCGAUGAAGAAACGAAACCUUUUCUGAAGAGCAGGAUGUAUGAGUCGAGGUAUCCUUCGAGAGGUGAUAUUGUAAUGGGCAAAGUCAAGAAAAUUGAAGGGCGAGAAGCUGUAGUGUGGCUUGUUGAGUACAAGAAGAGUUGCAAGGUCGUUUUGUCUGCAACAGUACCUCCAGUUCGAGUACUUGCAGAGAAGAGGAUGGAGGCAUUUCGAGUUGCUGAUGUGAAUGUUGAAGAGAGGCAAAUCAUCCUUGAUGAAACACCGCUGUCGAAGGCUGAGAUGUGGGCGUUUGAGAAGCGAUUCAACGAGGCAAAGUUCGUCCAUUCCGUCCUCUUUAGUGUUGCUGAUGAUCUGCAUAUGAAUUUGAAGGAUGCUUAUAAACUUUGUGACUGGCCUUCCUAUGAAGAGCUGAAGACAUUGCACAGAGAUGAGAACUUCCUUGCUUGCAAGAAUGUCUCCUUCAGAAAGCUGCUUCUUGACAGGAUUGGUCUUAUGAAGUACAAUUCAUGGAGAGUGAACGAUCCAAGUCGGCUUCAAACAUCUUCACUCAAGCAAAUCCGUGACAUCUGCUAUGCAAUAGCUUUGGCACGUCAAGCAGAAGCAUUCUUUAAGAAGAGAGGAGAUUUGGGGAAGGAGGAACAUCUCUCAAUUCAACAUAUACUCAACAAAGGGGUUGACUAUGGGUUGGUCAGUAGAGAUUACACCCUCCUUGAGCUUGGAACAUUGGUGAAGAUAUUGCAACGAGAUGGUUUCAUUCUUGACACUGAUUGUCCCCUUACUUACUCUCUUGCUGGAACUCCCUCUGCGUCCGAUAACUCUUGUUCAACUAAAGAUCCUAUUCGUGUUUUCGAAGCUCCUCAAAUAAAAGUUAUGACUGCUGGAGAAGAGGUCCCAGAAGAAUGGAUGGUUGAGGAGAUGUUGGCUGAAUUAGAUGGAGGACCGCUCACGUUCUCUUUGCCUAUGUUCCCAUCCUACAAAACCAAAUCCAAGAAACUAGAUGACAUAUACAAGCCUACAGAAGAUGAGUUUGCAGCCUACAAGUUGGCUAAUGAUAAGGGCAAACCUUGCAAGCUAGAUUUUCAUACCAUGCUGCUUACAGGUGACGGUAUAGACAGGUAUGGGGAUCAGUAUCUUGAAUGUCAAGACUGUCUUGGUGAUAUAGAUAUUGGGGAUCGGGGUUACGUACGUUUUGCGGUCAAACCUAACACGGUAACAGAGUUCGUCUCUUUCAAGAAUGUUUGCAAUCAUGAUGAUGACUAAGUAUGAGAGAAUUCUAGCAUGCCUCGAGACCCUCAGUUAGAAAGAGAUCUGUUUCCUCAUGCAUUGUGUUGUGGUUUAAACUGAUACUUCUCGGAAACUUAGUGCUACAUUAUGGAACUUUGAAAUGUACAGAGAAGGACAUUUACCUAGAACCAUCUACCUGGAUGUCCUUCUAGGCAGAUGGUUCUGCAUGAUAAAGUUGAAAUUGAAGGAUUUCUCGAUCUUGAGGAGGGUGUUAAGGUCGUUUGGGUUACAUAGAUCUUUGGAUGAUGCGGUGAUGAGGUACCUGAUGAAAAACAAGAAAGAAAAAAGCAGUGCGUGUUUCUCUUAUGAUCCAUGUUGUAUGGUGUUUUGUUUUGAAUAUUUUUGUUGAAAGUGUGACGUUGAUAUAUACACUAUAGAAAUUAGAUAUUUGAUUUGAUAGAAA
RNA transcript from Brassica oleracea var. oleracea, 2069 nucleotides. RefSeq lists it as uncharacterized. The transcript has 9 exons. The record is from RefSeq and is a predicted model, not a curated record. Lineage: Eukaryota; Viridiplantae; Streptophyta; Magnoliopsida; Brassicales; Brassicaceae.